UCAAAUCAGGUAGGACUA
RNAcentral lists this ribosomal RNA (18 nucleotides) under Gymnopus sepiiconicus. RNAcentral's name for it is "partial 28S ribosomal RNA". Lineage: Eukaryota; Fungi; Basidiomycota; Agaricomycetes; Agaricales; Omphalotaceae. The record is from RNAcentral.